GAUGGAAGAACGUAGCGAAAUGCGAUAAGUAGUGUGAAUUGCAGAAUUCAGUGAAUCAUCGAAUCUUUGAACGCACAUUGCGCCCUUUGGUAUUCCUUAGGGCAUGCCUGUUCGAGCGUCAUUUCAACCCUCAAGCCCUGCUUGGUGUUGGGCGUUUGUCCUGCCUCCGCGCGGGACUCGCCUCAAAGACAUUGGCGGCCGGUUUCCCUUUGCAGGCCACGAGCGCAGCACAGCGAGCGCUCUACGUGGACGCGGGGUCGGCGCACCAGAAGCCCUCUUUCUCGAAUUUUGACCUCGGAUCAGGUAGGGAUACCCGCUGAACUUAAGCAUAUCAAUAAGCGGAGGA
RNAcentral lists this unclassified non-coding RNA (346 nucleotides) under soil metagenome. RNAcentral's name for it is "partial contains 5.8S ribosomal RNA, internal transcribed spacer 2, and large subunit ribosomal RNA". The stretch from base 5 to 121 matches the Rfam family "5.8S ribosomal RNA", at positions 38 to 154 of the family's 154-position model. The record is from RNAcentral.